RNAcentral lists this ribosomal RNA (767 nucleotides) under Hypoxylon cocois. RNAcentral's name for it is "Hypoxylon sp. DB-2023a partial large subunit ribosomal RNA". It matches the Rfam family "Eukaryotic large subunit ribosomal RNA", at positions 83 to 876 of the family's 3401-position model. The record is from RNAcentral. Lineage: Eukaryota; Fungi; Ascomycota; Sordariomycetes; Xylariales; Hypoxylaceae.
GUAACGGCGAGUGAAGCGGCAACAGCUCAAAUUUGAAAUCUGGCCCUAGCGGUCCGAGUUGUAAUUUGUAGAGGAUGCUUUAGGUGCGGUACCUUCUGAGUUCCCUGGAACGGGACGCCAGAGAGGGUGAGAGCCCCGUACGGUGGGAUACCAAGCCUAUGUAUAGCUCCUUCGACGAGUCGAGUAGUUUGGGAAUGCUGCUCUAAAUGGGAGGUAUAUUUCUUCUAAAGCUAAAUACCGGCCAGAGACCGAUAGCGCACAAGUAGAGUGAUCGAAAGAUGAAAAGCACUUUGAAAAGAGGGUUAAAUAGCACGUGAAAUUGUUGAAAGGGAAGCGUUUGCGACCAGACCUUUUCCAGGCGGAUCAUCCAGCGUUCUCGCUGGUGCACUUCGCCUGGUUUAGGCCAGCAUCGGUUCUCUUAGGGGGAUAAAGACCAGGGGAACGUGGCUCCUUCGGGAGUGUUAUAGCCCCUGGUGUAAUACCCUUCAGGGGACCGAGGACCGCGCUUCGGCUAGGAUGCUGGCGUAAUGGUCGUCAACGACCCGUCUUGAAACACGGACCAAGGAGUCGAACAUUGGUGCGAGUGUUUGGGUGUUAAACCCUCACGCGUAAUGAAAGUGAACGGAGGUGAGAGCCCGUACGGGUGCAUCAUCGACCGAUCCUGAUGUCUUCGGAUGGAUUUGAGUAAGAGCAUCACUGUUCGGACCCGAAAGAUGGUGAACUAUGCGUGGAUAGGGUGAAGCCAGAGGAAACUCUGGUGGAGGCUC